Molecule: ribosomal RNA, 362 nt
Filed under: uncultured bacterium
Lineage: Bacteria
Description: bacterial SSU rRNA
Rfam family: Bacterial small subunit ribosomal RNA
Source: RNAcentral
GGAAUUUUACCGCAAUGGGCGAAAGCCUGACCGGAGCAAGACCGCGUGGGGGAUGAAGGCUACUUGGGUUGUAAACCCCUUUUCGCUCAGGGAAGAAGAACUGACGGUACCUGAGGAAAUAAGCAUCGGCUAACUCGCCGUGCCAGCAGCCGCGGUAAGACGGAGGAUGCAAAGCGUUAUCCGGAAUUCGAUUGGGCGUAAAGCGUUCGUAGGUGGCUGUUCAAGUACUGCCGUUAAAGACCGCGGGGCUUAACUCCGGAAAAACUGUGGAAACUGAACAAGCUAGAGUAUGGCGUAGGGGUAAGGGGAAUUCCUGGUGUAGCGGUGAAAUGCGAUAGAUAUCAGCGGAAGAACACCGGUGG